GAGGAAUAUUGGUCAAUGGACGCAAGUCUGAACCAGCCACGUCGCGUGAAGGAAGACGGCCCUACGGGUUGUAAACUUCUUUUAUACGGGAAUAAAGUGCCCCACGCGUGGGGUUUUGCAAGUACCGUACGAAUAAGGAUCGGCUAACUCCGUGCCAGCAGCCGCGGUAAUACGGAGGAUCCGAGCGUUAUCCGGAUUUAUUGGGUUUAAAGGGUGCUCAGGCGGGGGAUUAAGUCGGCGGUGAAAUUUUGCAGCUCAACUGUAAAAGUGCCUUCGAAACUGGUUUCCUUGAGUGCGGAUGAGGUAGGCGGAAUUUGUGGUGUAGCGGUGAAAUGCAUAGAUAUCACGAGGAACUCCGAUUGCGAAGGCGGCUUGCUGGACAAAUACUGACGCUGAGGUGCGAAAGCGUGGGGAGCAAACA
Molecule: ribosomal RNA, 421 nt
Filed under: uncultured Proteiniphilum sp.
Lineage: Bacteria; Pseudomonadati; Bacteroidota; Bacteroidia; Bacteroidales; Dysgonomonadaceae
Description: bacterial SSU rRNA
Rfam family: Bacterial small subunit ribosomal RNA
Source: RNAcentral